UAUUUUUAGGCUACUUUGAAAAUAUUGUUGUCUAAUACAAGAUUUGGAGUGUUGGAUUUCACGUUUUGGAUUUGGGAUAGUUUUUUGACUACUGAUUCAGUUUUAAAAGUAGAUUAAGGCGGAUAUGUUACACAGACCUGGCAACACUCUUACCUUGGCGGAAAUGAAAAUGAAACUAAGUUGUCCCAGUUUGUUCUGAGCGUGUGCCGAGUGCGCAUCUGUUUCAUCUCUGUCUUCGAGGUUUUGUUGGUAAUACAGGCUUUCGUGUGCAGAAGUAUUUACAAAAACAAUUAUCGUUGUUGUUAUUUUGUGCAAUUUAAAACAGGUGAGCCAUUCUUUCAGACACAUCUGUUUUACACACGGCUUUUACAACCUCAACCAGGAAGUGUGAGGUGCUGUAAGUGACUGUGUAUGAGUUUGUUUUUCAGUAAAAUGGCAGAGGUGAAUAUUUCUGUUGCUCAGGAUCAGUUCAGUUGUCCAAUCUGUCUGGAUCUACUCAAGGAUCCAGUAGCUCUUUCAUGUGGACACAGUUUCUGUAUGGUGUGUAUUAAUGGCUGCUGGGAUCAGGAGGAUCAGAAGGGAGUCUAUAGCUGUCCUCAGUGUAGACAAACCUUCACUCCAAGACCUGUUGUGAGUAAAAACACCAUGCUGGCUGAAUUAUUGGAGACAAUGAAGAAGACAAGACUCCAAGCUACACGUCCUGCUCAGUGUUCAGCUGGACCUGAAGAUGUGGAGUGUGAUUUCUGCACUGGGAGAAAAUCCAAAGCCAUCAAGUCCUGUCUGGUGUGUCUGGCCUCUUUCUGUGAAACUCACCUCCAGCCUCACUAUGAAUCUCCUGCCUUUAAGAAGCACAAGCUGGUCGAAGCCUCCAGACGACUCCAGGAGCAGAUCUGCUCUCAGCAUGACAAACUGCUGGAGGUUUACUGUCGCACUCACCAGCAGUGUAUCUGCAUGUUGUGUAUGUUAGAUAAACAUAAAGGACACGAUACAGUAUCAGCUGCAGCAGAAAGAGCUGAGAAACAGAAGCAGUUGUUGAAAAUACUGGAAAAAUCCAAGCAGAGAAUCCAGGAGAGAGAGAAGGAGCUUCAGGAGCUGAGGAAGCUUGUGGAGUCUCAUAUGCGCUCAGCACAAACAGCAGUGAAGGAAAGUGAGAGGAUCUUUACUGAGCUGAUCAAAUCCAUUGAGAGAAGAUGCUGUGAGGUGACAGCACUCAUCAGAGCUCAGGAGAAAGCUGCAGUGAGUCGAGCUGAAGAAGUCAUGAAGCAACUGGAGCAGGAGAUUGCAGAGCUGAAGAGGAGAGAUGUUGAGAUGGAGGAGCUUUCACACACAGAUCCCAUCCAUUUCCUCCGGAGUUUUCACUCUGUCUUGGACCCUCCUGGAUCUGCAGAUUUACCCACCAUCAUAUUCAGUUCUCCAUCUUUUGAGGAUUUAGUAAAACUUGUGUCUCAACUGAGAGAGAGACUAGAACAAUGUGGUAAAGAAGAGUUUGGGAAAAUAUUAUGUAAAGGCAUAGUAAAUGACUGGUGAGACAAAGAGUGAAUGGUACUCACCAUAGAAGAGCGGAGGGAGUCGCUCCUGCUCUCUGAGGGGAUGGGCAUGGCCGAGGAUGGAGCAUGGAGUGGGCAUUGCCGGACGAAGUGGCCCAAUUGUCCACAGUAGAAACACCGUCGCUCUCUGUGGCGUUUCGCCUGUUUGUCUUCACUGAGGUAAGUCCAAGCUUCAUGGGUUCAGAGAGGCUGCUUAGCCCUACUGGGAGCUCAUUUCUACAUGGGAGCGGCUGGCUUAAGAGCACGUGGUCCAGGUAAAUGGCUAGGUCAAUGGAAGAAUUGAGAGUCAGCUUCUCAUCUCUGCAGGCCAUUUCGGUGAGGCUGUUGGCAUUCAAAUCCCGCUGGAAUGCAGCUUUCAGGGUCAGCCGCAAGAGUGUGGAACUCGAGGGCAUACUUGGCCACAUGCCUGAUGCCUUGGGUCAAGGUGAGCAGCUGUUUCCUCAUUUUCUUUCCCUCCAGUGCAUGGUCGAAGAUACGCUGGAAAAGCUCUAUGAACUGGUAAUAGGAAGUCACCUGAUCGCCUCCUUGAUACCACACUGCUGUAUCCCAAACUAGCACUUUGCCUUUUGGUAGGCCAAGAAAGGCAGCUACCUUCUGCUGCUUUGUCAGCCCCUCUUUUCUGGCGAAAUAGCGGGAGCACUGUAGAAGGAAGCCUUUGCAGAGGGCAGUCUCUACUGCAUACUUGUCCAGCUUAGGGAUUUUGUUGGUGCUCGCCUACCAGUUGACCCUGAGCUGCUACUACCGGUCGGCAGGCUUGUUCUCCUGCUGCAUCCACGUUGGAGGCAAAGUAUUCUGUCACCACUUGGUAAGUGGAUGUACUAUAGAUGCAAAUGCAAAACUAUUUAUAAAAAACAGGCAAACAAAUCCAAGACCGUAAUCCAAAAACAAUACACAACAAACAGCUUGGUAAAUCAGGUACAAACACACUGAGUGUUACUUCACAAUGAGAAUGUGAAACUGUGAGAUGUGAUUGUUCUCAAGUGUGGGUGAUUAGUAAUCAGGAGAAUGUGAACAUGAGAGAAUCCCUUGUUGGGAAGUGUAGUCCAUGGCGGCCAUAUUCGUAUGCCACGGUGUGUUCUGUUUGCCUGACAACUAGUCAGCUAGAUUAAUCUUGUAGCUCCAGUGAAAAGAAUGAAACACUGAACAUAAAACAUCUCCAAACUUUUCAACUACUUUUGGGGCAAAUUUUAGUUUAAAAUUUUUAUGUUAAAGUAAAAAAAAAAGGUUCACAGCAUUGGCCAUGUGUAAGUGUACAUGUAACUGUGUUUAAUUGUAUUCUUGUAGUGAAGGAUGUCCAGAUCUUUACACCCCAAGGCAGGGAAGAGUUUCUACAAUAUUCCUGUCAGUUCACACUGGAUCCCAGCACUGCAAAUAAACACCUCUGUCUGUCUGAGGAGAACACGAUGGUGACCUGCAGUACAGUGGCUCAGUCG
Pangasianodon hypophthalmus (striped catfish) is the source of this 2980-nucleotide RNA transcript. It is a transcript of the gene named E3 ubiquitin/ISG15 ligase TRIM25-like, with no coding region annotated. The transcript has 6 exons. Lineage: Eukaryota; Metazoa; Chordata; Actinopteri; Siluriformes; Pangasiidae. The record is from RefSeq and is a predicted model, not a curated record.